CGUGCAGAGGGAAUUCCCGGUGUAGCGGUGAAAUGCGUAGAUAUCGGGAAGAACACCAGUGGCGAAGGCGCUCUGCUGGGCCAUUACUGACGCUCAUGGACGAAAGCCAGGGGAGCGAAAGGGAUUAGAUACCCCUGUAGUCCUGGCCGUAAACGAUGAACACUAGGUGUCGGGGGAAUCGACCCCUUCGGUGUCGUAGCUAACGCGUUAAGUGUUCCGCCUGGGGAGUACGCACGCAAGUGUGAAACUCAAAGGAAUUGACGGGGGCCCGCACAAGCGGUGGAGUAUGUGGUUUAAUUCGAUGCAACGCGAAGAACCUUACCAGGGUUUGACAUCCUGCGAACCUCUUAGAAAUUUGAGGGUGCCUUCGGGAAUGCAGUGACAGGUGGUGCAUGGCUGUCGUCAGCUCGUGUCGUGAGAUGUUGGGUUAAGUCCCGCAACGAGCGCAACCCACGUUUUUAGUUGCCAGCAUUUAGUUGGGCACUCUAGAAAGACCGCCGGUGAUAAACCGGAGGAAGGUGUGGAUGACGUCAAGUCAUCAUGCCCCUUACACCCUGGGCUACACACGUACUACAAUGCUACGGACAAAGGGCAGCAAACUCGCGAGAGCUAGCAAAUCCCAUAAACCGUGGCUCAGUUCAGAUCGUAGGCUGCAACUCGCCUACGUGAAGUAGGAAUCGCUAGUAAUCGCAGGUCAGCAUACUGCGGUGAAUACGUUCCCGGGCCUUGUACACACCGCCCGUCACACCAUGGAAGUUGGCCAUGCCCGAAGUCGUUACUCCAACCCUUGUGGAGGAGGACGCCGAAGGUGGGGCUAAUGACUGGGGUGAAGUCGUAACAAGGUAGCCGUACCGGAAGGUGCGGCUG
RNAcentral lists this ribosomal RNA (867 nucleotides) under Prochlorococcus sp. HOT208_60m_813O14. RNAcentral describes it as "bacterial SSU rRNA". It matches the Rfam family "Bacterial small subunit ribosomal RNA", at positions 654 to 1520 of the family's 1533-position model. Lineage: Bacteria; Bacillati; Cyanobacteriota; Cyanophyceae; Synechococcales; Prochlorococcaceae. The record is from RNAcentral.